CCUACGGGAGGCUGCAGUGAGGAAUAUUGGUCAAUGGGCGCGAGCCUGAACCAGCCAAGUAGCGUGAAGGAUGACUGCCCUACGGGUUGUAAACUUCUUUUAUAAAGGAGUAAAGUGAGGCACGUGUGCCUUUUUGUAUGUACUUUAUGAAUAAGGAUCGGCUAACUCUGUGCCAGCCGCCGCGGUAAUACGGAGGAUCCGAGCUUUAUCCGGAUUUAUUGGGUUUAAAGGGCGCGUAGAUGGGUUGUUAAGUCAGUUGUGAAAGUUUGCGGCUCAACCGGAAAAUUGCAAUUGAUACUGGCAGUCUAGAGUGCAGUUGAGGUAGGCGGAAUUCGUGGUGUAGCGGUGAAAUGCUUAGAUAUCACGAAGAACUCCGAUGGCGAAGGCAGCUUACUAAACUGCCACUGACAUUGAUGCUCGAAAGUGUGGGUAUCAAACAGGAUUAGAUACCCUGGUAGUC
RNAcentral lists this ribosomal RNA (460 nucleotides) under uncultured bacterium. RNAcentral describes it as "partial 16S ribosomal RNA". It matches the Rfam family "Bacterial small subunit ribosomal RNA", at positions 338 to 795 of the family's 1533-position model. The record is from RNAcentral.